GAUGAAGAACGCAGCGAAAUGCGAUAAGUAGUGUGAAUUGCAGAAUUCAGUGAAUCAUCGAAUCUUUGAACGCACAUUGCGCCCUUUGGUAUUCCUUAGGGCAUGCCUGUUCGAGCGUCAUUUGAAACCUCAAGCUCAGCUUGGUGUUGGGUGUCUGUCCCCGCCUCCGCGGGGACUCGCCUCAAAAUCAUUGGCGGCCGGUACGUUGGCUUCGAGCGCAGCAGAAACGCGAACUCGAGGCCGGGCGGAUCGGCGACCAGAAGUCUCUUCUUCACAGUUUGACCUCGGAUCAGGUAGGGAUACCCGCUGAACUUAAGCAUAUCAAUAAGCGGAGGA
This 336-nucleotide unclassified non-coding RNA is filed under the name soil metagenome. RNAcentral describes it as "partial contains 5.8S ribosomal RNA, internal transcribed spacer 2, and large subunit ribosomal RNA". The stretch from base 1 to 120 matches the Rfam family "5.8S ribosomal RNA", at positions 35 to 154 of the family's 154-position model. The record is from RNAcentral.